Molecule: long non-coding RNA, 5069 nt
Organism: Balaenoptera ricei (Rice's whale)
Lineage: Eukaryota; Metazoa; Chordata; Mammalia; Artiodactyla; Balaenopteridae
Exons: 2
Source: RefSeq, a predicted model, not a curated record
CGGGCGACCCGCGGGAGGCCGAGCCGGGGCCUGCGCGGUCCCGGGCCCGCGGGAGCCGCUUUCGGGGUCAGGGCGGGGGCUUAGCGAACGCGUGCGGGGUGGGCCUGGAUCCCGGACCCGACCUCGCUGUGACCGGCGCAGAGACACGGGGCGCAGCUGAAAUGAGCUUCACGAAGUUGUCGUUGAGCGCGAUGCCGGCCUUAGCAUCAAAGAUAGACGAAUGGGUAUCGCCAACAAAGUCCGUGGACACGACCUGGCGAUCAGAAUUUCAAAGAUAAGCGUGGGUCGCAGAGCAGGGACCUCCAGGAGCUCAGGCUCGUGGAGCACACUGUCCAUCCAUUCAUCUACAGUAUUUGAUGGAGCCCCACUCUGUCCAGCUUCUGGGGACAGGGUAUGAGGAAGACAGAUGGGGGCUUUUCAGGUAGGGGACUGGCCAAAGGAUACAGACUGCAAACAGCCUCUGAUGCUGCACCAACAGACAUCUCUUCCUGGGAAAAAUGCGCGUGGAAUGUGUCAGCGAGAGGCCCUCCCUGAGGGGAGGCAGUGAGCCUGGCUCUGGAUGAUUAGGAGGAUCUGGUCAACUCCAGCCCUCAGCAGGGUCUCAGGUGGAAGGAAGUGCAGCACAAAGGCCCUGGGGGUUUGGCCCUAGCAUGGUGGAAGGCCACAGGAAGGUUUUCAGCUCUGGGGGUGAUGUGAUCUGAUUUCUUUAAGAGAUCCUGGCAGCUGUGUGAGGGUGGACCUUCAGGAGCUAAAGCGGGGAGACAGCACCAAGGUGGACGGACAGAGCUGGCACUUCUGGGAGCAAAGAGACGCGAUAUCCAUUCCUCACAGGGAAGGCAUCUGGCUGUGGCCUGCCCCGAGCGAGUGUUGAGAAAUGGGAGCCCUUGUCUUGUUCACUAAGCAUGUACUGAGCACCUGCUAUGUGCCAGGCCCUGGGAAGAUGGCUGGAGCUAUGGAAGUGAAAAACGAGGCCCAAAGUCUCUGUUGUCUUGGAGUGUACAUGCUAGCAGGGCCAACAGUGACUAUGAAAUGACAUUUCAGGUAAGGAAAAGGGUCACAAAAAGAACAUUUCUCUGAGAUGAGAGGUUGAAGUAGCGACUUGGAGAAGGUGAGGACAGACUAUGUGGCCACCUGAGGGAAAAGCUUUCCAGACCAAAGGGGCAGCAAGUGCAAAGACUCUGAGGUAAGGGAGAGGUGACCUUCCCAGCCCUGCAGUUCCUAUCUUGAUACGCUGCAAACAACUCCUUGGCAAAUGGAAAAUCACGCUCCCUUCCCAGAGGGCUCUUCCCAGGGUCCCUUCUGCUCAGCCCCUACCUCAUCCUCAGUGUAGGCAAGGAUGCCAGCCAUGGGCCCCUUGGCUGCUGCUUUUAUGGCCUCCUUGAUGUCUGAGUACGGGGUAGGCUGGGCCAGGCGGCAGGUCAGGUCCACAACAGACACGACUGGGGUUGGCACUCGGAACGCCAUUCCCGUCAGCUUCCUGGAGAAUCCCACAUCAGGGGCGGGAGUCAGAACCCAGGGACUUCUCCAUCAUUUCCCCCUUGUCUCUGCUUUCCGCUCAGUAGACACCUCAAGGAUUGGGGGCUAGUCCAGUCCUCCUGGGUUGCACCCCCCACCGUUGUUGCAGCUUCAUGCCCUCAUACCCUUGGAGGUCUGGGAUGACUUUGCCCACGGCCUUGGCAGCCCCCGUGGAGGCCGGGAUGAUGUUCUGGUGGGCACCCCGUCCGUCUCGCCAGGCCUUCUUUGAUGGCCCAUCCACUGUCUUCUGGGUGGCAGUGUAGGAAUGGACUGUGGUCUUGGGGAAGAAGAGGGCCGAGAUGAGGCCUUCUUGCUCCCAAGCUCCCAUGCCUCUUUUUCCCAGGCGCAGGGUGGUGACCCAGGUGUGGAGGCUGGCGGGGCCUCCACCACCGUCACAGGAGGGGCACAUGCAGGCAGGGUCCAGAGUUUAAAAGACUUCACCACUGGUGGGCUUCUCCUCCCCAAACCAGUCUCUCCCUGUUAACUCCACACACUAAGCGAGUAUGGGAGGAAGAGGUACAGUUUCCCAGCCAUGCCUCCUGCCCCAGCCCCCCUCCCCAACUCACCAUCAGCCCUUCCACAAUCCCAAAUCGCUCGUGGAUGACCUUGGCGAGGGGGGCCAGGCAGUUGGUGGUGCAGGAUGCGUUGCUGAAACGGCCCGGGUGUGCAAGGCACUGUGAGGUGAGUCGCAGAGCCACCCCUCCACCCUUACCUCCUUUCAGGGUUUGCGCACAGGCUUGGUUUUGUGAAAAGUCAGGCUGGGGAUGAGGGAGCAUCGGGGAUGCCGUCAGACCGAAGGAGGCACCAGAGGUGCAGCUGGGGGAAGCUCCCCAAGCAUGUUCUCCGGGAGUCGCGCAGUUCUAACGGAUGCUUUUAGGGUAACAUGAACAAGAUGGCUGUUAAGACUUUGGGGAGGAGAAGUGGACUGAUGUGAAAAGAGCACCAGGGGCCAAGUGGGAGUGGGAGUGGGGAGGGUGAGUCGGAUUCCUCCCCACCGCAGGCUGGCUUGUCCUUCAGGCACACGCUUCAGAACGUUGCUGCCCAUUACCUGACAAUUUUCAUGGAGCCGGGGUUGUAGUCCUUUUCGUUCACCCCCAUGACAAACAUGGGUGCAUCUGGAGAGGGCGCACAGAUGACCACACGCAGGGCACCUGCCUCAAGGUGGGCCUAGGGAAGGUGCACAGGUGUCAUGAGGUGCUUCAAGUGCCACACCCCCCGGGCAGCCCUGGGCACCUGUCCCCGACUUACUGUAGUUUCCUCUAAGGACAGGUACACGCCUGUGGCCUCCACCACAAAGGGGUUCCCGACGGACUUCCAGGGGAUUUCUUUGGGCUGCUUGCUGUGGAGGGGCGGUAGCACCGUGAGUCAGUCUCUCGCCUUCAUAGUCCAUGGCCUUCACCAUUUGAAAGGCUGACCAGACACCUUCCUGCCUGGCCGUCUGUUCCCCUCACCCCACACAUCCCUAGCUGCCCCAGAUGGGUCCGACCCUGCUGGUCUUGCCUCUCAUCGCUAACCCCCCUAGUGGGCCACUUUUCUUGACUGUACCUGCUAUGCCUGGGUACAAGCCGCCACCUCCCCAACUCAGGCCUCAAGCCCCGCCUGGGGGACCGUCUAGACUACUCCCAGCCAGGUCAGGCCCUUUCUACAUAUGCGGCCCAGGAUGUAGACCCCAGGAGGGUGAGGCCUGCCCUACUGCUUCUGGCUUCAGUCCUGGCAACCUCAUCACAGCACUCCUAGCCCUUCUUCUCUUGACUACUCAGCUCCUGCAACAGGGAUCCUGCUACCAGAGGCCAGGCAAGUGUCUGAAAACACACAGCACAUCCAGAGAGCAGCUCCCAGGGGGCUGAAGCCUUGAGGCGGCCCUGGGGCUAGCAGUGGCUAGUGGUUUAUAUUGGAAAGGUAAAGGAGAUUUUCUGUUUCUUGUUUUAUCGAUAUACAUUUUCCACUCGAUAUCAAACAUUUGUGUCUGAAACAUAUUAAACAUCUACUAUUGCUGUUUUCUACUUGGCUUUAGCAAACAAACAAUAUAUGGGUAAACUCUAUACUAAUCUUUUCCCUCAGCUUUUAUCACAACUGCGGUAUUUGCUUUUGUGAUUGUUAGUGUCUGUCUCAUCUAGAGCACUCCAUGGCAGCAAGGCUGGGUCUGCUCCCUCCAGAGGGGUUCAGUCAAUGUGUGUGGUUUUUUUUUAUUAGCCAUUCUACACAUGUUUACUGAACACCUGCCAUGUGCCUGUGUGCUGAGUGCUUUACCUGUAUUGAACUCCUUUAACCCUGAUGACCUGAGGUAAGUACUGUUAUUACUGGCAUGUUUCAGAAGAGCCAGGACAGAGGUGAAAAGAGUAGAGGCAGAGCUGCCUGGGAGCACAGGCAGGCCGGCCCUAGGGAUGAAUGAAUGAGCGGCUUCCUCUCUUCUCCCUGGGCCACCACACAUGGUUCUUCUUGCUCCCUGGUCAUCUGUCAGGUCACACUUCAUCAUCUGACCCAAGUAGCUCUUCUCUGAUGCCCCCCUCAUUUCCUGCCUUCCAAGUUGGGGGAAGGGCACUUCAACAAAUUCCUUUGUAGCAGUUGUUGAGCUGGCAUGGGGGGCAGAGAGUUGGUGCCCCUGGAGACCCCAGCCCCUUCCCCUAGGCUGUCAUGGGCCCUGCCUUCCUGCCCAGGGGCUUGUUUUGAGGAUUCUGUUCAUUCUUCAAGGAAGUACUGAGUCCACCCCGGGCCAGGGCCUGUGCCCACGGGUGCCAGAGCAACAGUGGUGCCGCAGGCUGACAGGGCCCUCCUUGCAAGGAGGCUGCGUGAGCCCUUCCCGGCGCUCCCCACACGCCUCUGGCCGUGCUCCCUGCUAUGGCUGUGGUGGGCAUGCUCAGCAUCCCUAUCAGACACGUGAGGAAACAGGCUUUUGGGGAAGUUCAUUGCCUUGCCCAGGGCCACCCGACUGGAAAGGGCGGAGCCGGGCAAAGUACACACCCAAGCAGUGCAGCUCGUGCUGAUGAUGGAGAGCAGUGGGGAAGGGGGAAGAGGUGCUGCAGUCACCAGGGAAGGUGGCACCUGAGCGGGGCACACACUGAGGGGGCGGCUGUGUGGGGACGGGGCAGCGCUGGGAAAAUACCCCGGCUGGCGGCAACGAUGGCGCCCAGGCUGAGGAAGGAAAGGACACAGUAUGUCUGAGUAAUGACUGCUCUGCUGGAAUUUGGAAUUGUUUUUGCUGUCAUGAUUUCAAAUUUGGGUCAAGCAGCUUCUCCCAUUCUCACUGACUCUCCAGUCCCCGCCUCCACCCAUCCCUGACCACCUGACCACAAAUAAACAGCGGGGCUGAGAGUGGACCUGCUGGGAGGAGUGCUGGGAAGGCUGCAGAUCUUGCCUGGGGCUGGAGAGAGCUCACGAGUGUGCGUGUGUGUAAAAUUGGAAAUUGGAGGCAGCCCCAGGGCCGGCAGUGGCUGAUAAUUUACAUUAGAAAGAUAAAGUAGGUUUACUGUUUCCCAUUUUAUAAAUUUUUAAUUUUUUUGGUAUUUUGAAAAUGUAUUUGAAUCUUAUUAAACAUCCAGUGUUACUGCUUUUGA